ACGUAUGGUGCAAGCGUUAUCCGGAUUUACUGGGUGUAAAGGGAGCGCAGGCGGUGCGGCAAGUCUGAUGUGAAAGCCCGGGGCUCAACCCCGGUCCUGCAUUGGAAACUGUCGUACUAGAGUGUCGGAGGGGUAAGCGGAAUUCCUAGUGUAGCGGUGAAAUGCGUAGAUAUUAGGAGGAACACCAGUGGCGAAGGCGGCUUACUGGACGAUAACUGACGCUGAGGCUCGAAAGCGUGGGGAGCAAACAG
This 251-nucleotide ribosomal RNA is filed under the name uncultured bacterium. RNAcentral describes it as "partial 16S ribosomal RNA". It matches the Rfam family "Bacterial small subunit ribosomal RNA", at positions 525 to 775 of the family's 1533-position model. The record is from RNAcentral.